Molecule: RNA transcript, 6311 nt
Organism: Gambusia affinis (western mosquitofish)
Lineage: Eukaryota; Metazoa; Chordata; Actinopteri; Cyprinodontiformes; Poeciliidae
Gene: fnbp1b
Gene name: formin-binding protein 1
Exons: 17
Source: RefSeq, a predicted model, not a curated record
CACAUAUGGUUCAUUUGGGAAGUAGAUGUACGUUACCUUUCAUACCGAUGCAUGCAGUUGUCUUCCAACUGUGUGGAAUGAAGGCAGAUUUCUCGGCAGAUCACAACGUAUUGAUGCGGCAGCAUGGACAAGGUUGAAACUCUGAUCAAAGAGCAGCAGCUUAAGGAUCAGUUUGAUAACUUGGAGAAGCACACGCAGUGGGGGAUCGAGUUUGCGGAGAAGUACAACAAAUUUGUGAAGGAGCGAUCGGAGAUCGAAAUCAACUAUGCAAAGCAAAUUAGGAAUCUUUCAAAGAAAUAUCAACCCAAGAAGAACUCAAGGGAAGAAGAAGAGAGCAAAUACACCUUCUGUCGAGCCUUCUUCACGACCCUUAAUGAGCUGAAUGACUACGCGGGUCAGCACGAGGUCAUAGCGGAGAACUUGAACUCCCAAAUCAUUACUGAGCUUUCUCGCUACCUGCAAGAGCUCAAGACUGAGAGAAAAACGCAUUUCCAUGAUGGACGCAAAGCACAGCAGUACAUUGAAAGCUCGUGGAAGCAGCUGGAAUCGUGUAAAAGAAGGUUUGAGAGGGACUGCAAAGAGGCAGACAGAGCACAGCAAUACUUUGAGAAGAUGGAUGCUGACAUUAACGUGACUAAAGCUGAUGUGGAAAAGCGAGGCUUGAACAAGGCACGACAACAAGCUCAGAUGAGGCACCAGAUGGCUUCUGACAGCAAGGGCGAUUACUCGUCCUACCUGCAAAAGUUCAACCAGGAGCAGAACGAUCAUUACCACACAAUAAUUCCCAACAUAUUUCAGAAACUUCAAGACAUGGAGGAGAAAAGGAUCGAGAGAAUAGGAGCGUGCAUGAAGACGUUCGCAGAGGUGGACCGCCAAGUGCUGCCCAUCGUGGGGAAGUGUUUAGACGGCAUGACUACAGCCGCCGAGUCCAUCGAGCCCAAGACUGACUCCCAGCAGGUGGUGGAGUCCUACAAGUCUGGCUUUGAGCCCCCGAGUGACGUGGAGUUCGAGGACUACGGUCAGGCCAUGAAGAGAACGGUGUCUGAGAACAGCCUGUCCAACUCCAGAGAGGGCAAAGAGAAGCCUGCCGGCAAGAGCAAGCCCAAACUGUGGCCUUUCAUUAAGAACAAGAACAAGCUUAUGUCCCUGUUAACGUCCCCCCGUCAGCCCCCACCUGCCCCCCCAGCCUCAUCCCUGCCCUCACCCUCUGCUGUUCCCAACGACCCCCAGUCUCCCAAGCAGCACAAGGAGCCCCUCUCCCAUCGCCUCAACGACUUCAUGGCCUCCAAACCCAAAAUGCACUGCCUCCGGAGCCUGAGGCGAGGGGGAUCUGGACCAGAGGAUUUCAGUCAUCUGCCACCAGAGCAAAGGAGGAAGAAACUGCAGGGCAAGAUUGACGACCUCAAUAAAGAUAUUCACAAAGAGAUGGACCAGAGGGAUGCACUGACCAAGAUGAAAGACGUGUACAUUAAGAACCCCCAGAUGGGCGACCCGGCCAGCGUGGACCCCCGGCUGACGGAAAUAGGCCAGAACAUCGAGAAGCUCCAGGCUGAAGUGCAGAAGUUUGAGGGGUGGUUAGCAGAAGUAGAGGAGAGGAUGCCUUCGAAGAGCGACUCACACCGUAGAAGUGGACUUUACGAGACUCAGAGCACCAUAGCAGUGAGCAACAACUGUGCACAAGACAGAGAGAGCCCGGAUGGCAGCUACACAGAGGAGCAGAAUACAGAAACUCAGGUCAAAGCCAACAUCAACAUCAACAUCAACCCCAACCCCAACCCCAACACCAUCCCCACCACCAUGCCGGACGACGAGGAAUUCGACGACGACGACGAGCCACUGGCCACCAUCGGCACCUGCAAAGCUUUGUACCCUUUCGAAGGUCAUAACGAAGGCACCAUCGCCGUGGCCGAGGGCGAGCUUCUGUACGUCAUAGAAGAAGACAAAGGAGACGGCUGGACGCGGGUUCGGAGGAACCAGGAUGAAGAAGGAUACGUCCCAACGUCCUACAUUGAGGUCAAUCUGGAACCGAAUGCCAAAGGUGCUAUGACGUACAUCUAACUCGGCAAGCUCACCCUGUGACAGAUUUUUUUGUUGUUGUUGUUACUUUAAUUAAUAUCUUUCCAUUGACUGGGUCAAAGAUUAGAGAUUGUUAAUAGCCGCUCGGAAAGACGCACUUCCCGUCUCCGCAGGGGGAAGGACCAAUCACAUUUGUCUGCUGUGCCUCAUAACAGUUUAUGCAGGGAGCGUGCCUUUUAAUUCUGAGGUCCUUUGUGUGAAGACUCUGAGGACAAGGCACACAUUUUCACUGCAGUGCCACCUAGUGGUCGUACAACACGAGUCAUGACACCUCCAGUCAAAGCUGUGGGACAAAUCAGCUGCUGACAAUGAUCACUGAUACAUUUCAAACACAAACCUCUUGAUUACACUUGAGCUAGAAUCUUAAAUGUUGGAAUAUGGACUUGCAUUAUCAUAAUGUUAUUCAAGGGGUCUGAUCAACCACCUGGAAGACCAUCUGAAUCAUGUGUUUUUGUAUGUUGUUGCACCCAAAUGACAAACAUGCUCAAUGUGCAAUCAGACAAAACGCUGUCAAGCUCUGCUGUACUAAUUUUAUGUCUUCAGUUACUUUUUGUAGGCUGAUAAGUAAUAGAAACACAAUAAAAUCCGUGACCUCGACUCUAAAAAUGUUGCAUGCCUUUAAUAUUAUAGAUGCUGGCACAUCAGGAAAUGUAAACCCAAUUAUUGUUCCCAAUGAGGGAUGAUUUUCUAAGAAUAAUAACCCAGUUUACUGCAUUUUUUUAUUGCUCUUUUUCCACGUUCUCGAUUCACUUUUUGAUAACGGUAUUGUUGGCCUGCUCUGGAUCUUUCUCUCCAGGCCAGUGGUAAAGGAAUAAAGGAAAACGAAAUCAGACGCUCUCAGCUCUAUGAUUCCUAAAAGUGAGAGGCUGGCAGAGGAAUGGCAGGGCAAGCAGCCGCGGAGAAAACCACGGUGUGAAAAAGUGACAGAUGGGCUCAAUCUUUAAAGAAAAAAAUAUCUGAGAAAGAGAGAGUGAUGGAUGAUAGGAAUGCCGCUGAAAUUCACAACACAAACAUUUUGACAAAAAAAAUUAUUAUUAUUAUUUUUUUUUUAUAAUCGGCAGCGUCGAGCUUCCUCCGCUGAACAAAAGAGAUCGGUUUUAGCUCUCUUAACAUUCUCCAUUUUAACUCCCCUCUACCACGACUCAGACGACAGUACACAAUUUGAUCCUUGGUGUUUUACAGCAGAGCUUUGCUUCUUAAUGUCACUAACUCUGCUUGCGGCCAUGAAGAGGCUAUUUUUUUUAGCAUCCUCGCUCCUAACGCCCCUCCGUGCCCCUUGCACCGCUCUUCUAUUUUUUUUUCUUCCUUUCUCUCUCUUGUGACGCUCACAAUUACGGGAAAGCGUGUGGUCAGAAACAGGACGGAAGAGCAGCAGGAGCCCGAAGGGGAACGUUAAAACACGAAGCCGUACACUUCCUAAAACAACUCAUCCCGGUCUCAUCGCCUUCACCCUUCACUCCUUAAAAAAAAAACAUAUUUUUCUUUUUUUUCUUUUUUUUUUUUUUUUUCAAAUUCAACCACUCAUUUUGCAGGUUUCAUCCAAGCAGAAACAGAAGGAGGUUUUUUUUUUUUUUCUUUUUUUCUGUGUUUCUGCUUUCUUUCUUUGUUUUUGUGUCAAACCACGUUCAGGUUCCCGGGAUCGGCUGGAGGGCCCGUCUCUCUCAUCCACAGUACUCAUGUCUUGUCACUGGUGUCUGUUCCUCUCUCUGACCACACCCUUUCGUUCCCACUCUCCUUCCCCCACUCAGGCAGCUCAGGCUACCUGUCUCACAGCUGCUUCGAGCCUCCCCCUCCGCCCCCCGUCUUGCCUUUUUAAAAUGUUAUUUUUUAAUUUGCUAAGGCUCGGGGCGUGUGGUGUGGUGCAUGCUUGCCCUGUCUUCCUCCUCGCCCCCCUCUGCUGGCGGCUCGGAGAGGCGGCUUACGCCACCCCCACCCACCCACUCCGUCCUGCUGCCGCUGCCUCGAGCCUUUCUGUUCAGUUUAACCCUCAUUGCCUGGUCACACUGUUUAAAUUAACCUGAAUGCUACUGUUUGGGUUCAGUGCCUGUGGGUUUUUUUUUUUUACUGUUUUUUUUCUAUAUAUAUAUAUAUAUAUUUAUGUACAUUUCCUUUUUGUUUGUUCAAAAAGCAUGUUUUUCUUGUUUUUAACCGCAAAUAUGUGAUCUUUCCCGCCUCCUUCUCCCAGUGCUCCAAAGUGUAAUCACAGAUGAGGACGUUAGGGAGCCAUAAUGUUGUUUUCUGACUGAUCUUACACAUAGAUAGGUUAUGUCUUGUGAGUUUCUGUCUUUUUCUAUUUGUUUGUAAAAACGUAAUGCGACUCGUGGCUAGUUUACAGUCCAAUACCCUGUGGGAAAUGUCUCUGCUUGGUUUAGGCAACUUAGGAAAAGAAAUAAAAUAAAAUCCCCACUUCUACUGUAUAUGAAAAUGUCCUGUGAUGAAGAUUUUCUUGAGACUGAAGUGUGACAACAUACAGAUCAUCGCCUGAAUUGAGCCUUAACCCGUUGGGACGAAAAAGAUGUAGUUGGUUUUGUUUUAAUACGAGGAAAGUGUCUGUAGGCAUGGGCCGGAUUACUGGUGUCAAGGAAUGACGUGGUUUUUGAAAUCUGCAAACAUUUAGCAACAUUUCGACGGUUUAAACUCCUUCUGAACAUUGAGGUGAUGCUCAUUAUAUCUCUCCAGAUAUAAUGAGCAUCUCUUCUCCACCAUGUCCUCCAGGCUGUCGCUCAGCUGACUGGGAGAAUGCUACUGCUGUUUUUCUCAUACUUGUCAAGUAGAUUCGGUUCGAAUGGGGAGAAAAAUUGGAACGUUUUGUUAAAUUUUCUGAUGGCGCGGUUCGCCUUCACACUGCGCCGUCGGGAGAACCAAACCUGUUUACCUCCCCACCUUUGAUGGUGCUGCACCACGGGCCAAUGAAGGAGAUUACUCGAAAACUUCUGGAGAUGUGAGCGCAACUUUCUCCUUCGCAAAAUGUAAAUAAAAAUGGAAUGGCGUCAGAUUUUAGUGGUUGAAGUUCAUUUCUGUUUUUGCCAAAAGACCAAAAGCCAUUUCUCCCGCUAUCGCUAGGCUUGUGCAUUUGUCUUGCUUGUUUUUAGUACAUGUGCAUUGGGGUCAAGAAUGUGGUAUUCUCAGCGUUCUGCUGUUUUAGGUUACUUUUGCCGUUAGAUCAGGAUCGUUUAUUCAUUUUUACAGAUUAGUUGACCCCCAAAAGUUCUGAGAGCCUAACCAAGUGGCCAUAGAAGUAUUUUCUGAAUUCAUUUCACUUUGAAAUUUAAGCACGCGACAUGGCAAGGUGAUUCUUUAGCCGCGUCACACGUGGGAUAUGCAAAGCACACAAGAGCUACGUUGUGUUUUCAGUGUCAAAUACACAGCAAAGUACAUUUUACUCCACUGAAGUAAGAGCUCAGUAGUAAGACACACGAGCACAAAAGAGUUUUGGAUAAAAGCAAUUAGAUCAUGCCAUACAUUUUGGUUACAUCCUAUCAGAAACUCAGACCGACCCAUGCCUAACUCUCAGACUGGAAGACUACAACUUUUUCCCCCACAUUCAACGGCACAUAGUGUACAAGAUUUCAACUUUUUUAUUAUUAUUAUUUGUUUAUGUUCUUUAAGAUUCUUCCUCUUUGUGUCUUUCUUUGUUGCUGAAAUAUUCUGUUCCUCAUCCCACCUGAAUGAGGCCGCUCUGAACCGCAAAGAUGAAACUAGCAACCCCACUGUUCAGUAUCCACCUACCGCAGGUCCUCGUAAACACUUCCCAUGUGGAGGAGUGAUUAAGCAGACCUAUAAAUAGACUCCCACCGUCUCCCAUCUCACCGCGUCAAGAUUUUUUUUUUCCUCUGAGUUUCAUUUUGUGUCUGUGAUAAACGUCGAGAGCGAAGUGGCAGACUUGCCUCACCACAAAAUCUUUUUAGCCCUCAGAAUCACCUGCCUGUACAGAGGAUGAGACAUGAUGGAAUUAGAGAGAGAGUAUAUAUGAAUUUAUUAAAAAGGAAAAAAAAAAAAAAAGUUUUAAAAGGAAAACAUCUAUUUUAACUAUAUGGACAGUCUUACAGCGGAUUUAUUUGCUUCAGCUAGUAAGACUUCUUUUUUUUCCUUUAUGAGACCUACCAAAUGGUGUUUUUUGCACUUUUUCAUUUGUGUUCCAUUUGGUGGCCCCAUGCUUGUUGUUUUGGAGCACUGAAUACUUUGUAUUGUGUUUAAUUUUAUGUGCCAAUUAAAUAUGCCUGAAAAGAAAGAAC